This 206-nucleotide ribosomal RNA is filed under the name uncultured bacterium. RNAcentral's name for it is "partial 16S ribosomal RNA". It matches the Rfam family "Bacterial small subunit ribosomal RNA", at positions 568 to 774 of the family's 1533-position model. The record is from RNAcentral.
UCCGUAGGCGGUGUGGCAAGUCGGGAGUGAAAUCUCUGGGCUUAACCCAGAGGCUGCUUCCGAAACUGCCAUGCUAGAGUGUGAGAGAGGCGAGUGGAAUUACGGGUGUAGCGGUGAAAUGCGUAGAUAUCCGUAGGAACAUCCGAGGCGAAGGCGGCUCGCUGGAUCACAACUGACGCUGAGGGAGAAAGCUAGGGGAGCAAACA